This 8230-nucleotide long non-coding RNA is filed under the name Solanum lycopersicum (tomato). Its description in RNAcentral is "long non-coding RNA (SLYC_LNC000788)". The record is from RNAcentral. Lineage: Eukaryota; Viridiplantae; Streptophyta; Magnoliopsida; Solanales; Solanaceae.
UGGCCUCAUAAAAUAACUUUACAUUUUAUCAUUAUUAACAAGGUGGCUCCCUAUAGAAACAUCUUUUCAUCAGAAAGCUUCUAUUAGAAAAACAUGGGAAAAAUGCUCUUAUUCUGUCUCUUCUCCUUCCCUGUUUUUUUAUUGUUAAGAAAGGAAUAUGCUUGGCAUAUAUAUGGGCCCUCCCACAAGACGAGCUGCAUGAAUGGAGACUUCUGUAUCAUAGUACAGUACAUGGCCUAAGUUUCAGUACUUUCCUGGGAACAUUUCGUGAGUGGUUUCGUGCUUAAUUAUAAAUGAGUUUUUUAUUGAGUAUUAACUUUCAAUAUCUUUGAUAUCAUUGAGAUCCUUAAAUUAGUUAUAAUUAGGUCAAAAUAUUUUCUUGGUAGUCACCUUUUUUUCAUGUUUACUUGGUGCUUGACAGAACAUUUUUCAGCUUAUUAGAUCACUGAAUAUGCUUAUACUAUUAUCUUUCAGUUUAUCCUAACAUCCACUUGCACAACUUGCUAUUAGAUGCCAUUUUCAUAGUUUUUUAUUAUAAAGAUUAAAUGCCACGAGAUCAGCUGCAGAGUUUACAUAAGUAUCCUUAGUUCAACGGACUUGAAAUUUCAAGGUAGUAUCACACACAUUUUACCAAUAGGUUCUUUUCAUUAAAGAUUCAUAACAACAUAAGUAUAUGUGCAAAGUUACAAUAUCACUAUGAGAUAUAAAUAUAUAAUAAUACAAUCAAAUUAACCUCAAACACCUCCUCAAUGAUCUAACACAUUUAGUUUCAAUAACCAAAAAUAAAUAAAUUUACCUGAUGAUGGAGGCACUGCUGCUGAGGCGACUGCAACUGGCGGCGGCGCGAGAGCUGGCGGCGGAGAGCUGGCGAUGAGCGAGAGGGUCGACAGAGAGCGAUGAGCGAGAGGGUCGACAGAGAGAGAGAAAGAGAGAGGCGGUCGACGACGAGAAAGAGAGAGACGGUCGACGAGGGCAGUGAGAAAGAGAGAGGUGGUCGACGAGGGCAGUGAGAAAGAGAGAGAGGCGCGCGGUUGACCAAAAAUUAAGAGAGCGGAAAGAAAGAGCUAUUUUAAUUUUGCCUAGGUUUUUGGUUUUGCUUAAAAGACCUCAUGAGGUCUCUAAAUUUUUAAAUAUUUUAAAUUAUUAUUUUUAAUUUAACAAGUAGAGACCUCAUGAGGUCUCUACUUGUUAAAUAAAAAAUAAUAAUUUAAUUUAAUUUAAUUGAAUAGUUAAAAAAUUAGAGACCUCAUGAGGUCUCCAAUUUUAUGAGAAUUAGAUUAAAAAUUAAUUUUUUUUAAAUAAGUCAGGUAAAAAAUAUUAUUCAUUAUAUUGACCUCACGAGGUCUCUCCUACAUUAAAAAAAAUUAAAAGAUAUUAAUUUAUAUAGCGACCUCAUGAGGUUCUUAUUAUUGACCUAUUUUUGAGGUCUCCAUUUCUAGGUCUCUUUUUGGCCUUUUUUUAGUAGUGUUUGUAAAGGGAAAAAACUAUCUACACAAUAAAUUAACAUAUAUUUCACAAUAAAACUAAAAUGUUACAUUCACAAGGUGGUAAACCCUUCUUAAAAAACAUGAAAAGAUGAUAUGUAUUGGAGAAGAAUGUUACUCUCUUAAUUAAACAUCUCGUCAAAUCUUGAGUACGAAAAAACUCCUUAGUAGGAAGUGCUCCUUCCAUAUGGAGCCUUGCUUGUUGUGACAUCAUAUAUAAUCACACUGCAAUGUAGACACCAAAUAUCAUGUAGAAAGCCAAAAAAUAUAUAAAUUAUAAGAACAAUAUGUAACUUUGCAUGACAAUCAAAGUUGAUGUUGUUCUCACCUUCACAAUAUUCCAUUAUAAUUAAUAUAAUUUCCAUAGGAAGAUCUUGUCAAAUCAUUUUAAACUUCCUGCAAAAUUAGACCGAUAUAAAGUUAGGCAUCUUUUUCAUUAAUUAUUAAAAUAGUAUCAUCAAAUCAAAUCCAAAGAAAAUUAUAAAGAGAAUGAAAAGAUAAAUGAGAAAUUACAAUAUAAAAUUAGACAUCUUUUCUAUUAACUUUUAAAAUAGUAUUAGCAAACCAUCAAAUCAAAUCCAAAUAAAAUUAUAAAGAGAAUGAAAAGAUUAAUGGAAAAUUAAAUAGUAAAGUGCCAAUUUAUAGGACUUUAAUAUUUUGAACGUUGAAAAGCGUUAAUUCAUAAUUUAAAACUAUAAGUGUUCUCACCAGUUAUUGUAAGCUUAAUUUAAGGAAACAGAUUAGAGCUAUUAAUCAAAAUUAAAAAUUAGAAAUUUAAACGUUCUAUUUCUCAAAAUUUAAAUUAAUUAAAACACUUUAUUUAAGUAAAUGGUUAAGAGCUACUGAUAUGUUCUCUUUCUCAAGAUUUAAUUAAUUAAAAUUCAUUAAUUAUUAUAGCCUUAAAUUGAGAAAAUUAAACAAUAGCUAAUUAAAAUCAUUUUACAUCUGAAAAAAGGAAAAAGAAUCCUCCAAAAUCUAAAAAAAUAAUUAAAUAGGCUUCCUAAUCAUUGAGGUAUGCCAAAUCAGCAGCCUGAACAAAAAAAGGAAAAAGAAUCCUCCAAAAUCUGAGACAAUAAACAAAUAGGCUUUCUGAUUAUUGAGAUAUGCCACAUCAGCAAGCUGAACAUCAAGCUUUAUAUUAAUACAUAGGUUUAUUGACAUAAAAUAAAAUAUUUAUAUUUAUUGAAUUAAGUGUGUAAAUAUACAAUCUUGCAAUUCAGGCACUUAGUUAUUUUUCACUAAUGAUAUAUUAUAUAGAAACUAAUUUUAAACUAUAUUGAGAAAACAUGUGAUGGGAAAACUCAGAAGUCUCCUUUCUUCUAGAUUAUUAUUUUUAAAACUGCCUUCAAGGACUGCUGUUGCUUUGGGUACACCCCGUCGGCAGAAGAAUCUAAUUUUGUGUAAGAAUUUAUUAUUUUUCUAUUAGAGAAUGUAAAAUUUGUUUUUUUGGUAGGGAUAUGAUAUAACUAUCCCAUAGACUAUUACAAAAUUUUAAUGACACAUUAAUUAAACUAAGGUCUUAUUAUCCUUUCGGUCCAUUUUAUAAAUAAUUCUACAUACUUUUUGGCUUACGUGGUAUCCAAAUAUCUCACACACGCCUCAACUAUGUGGAGUCAUGCAGUGUGCCACCACAAAGUGUACAAAAUUACAAUAAAAAGAGUUCGAGUAGGGUUAUAGGACCUUAGCUUAGUUAAAAUAUCUCAGAAAUUUUGGUCAUAGUAUAGGGGUUACUUACGCCUUGUCCUUUUGUUAUGCUAUACUAGAUGUGUCAAGUGUCACAUGGAUAACUAUAGAUGAUAGAAUGAAUGUGUCCACUAACGAUUACAUAUAUAUCCAUUUGUCUAUACUCAGAUAUUUUUGAAGAAUGUGUUACAUUAAGAAUCAAAGUUACAAGGUGACUCAAUGGAUUUACACAUCAUACAUGUGGAAAAGAAAUGCAAGAAAGCAUCUGUGAUUUUCUCACCCAUGCUUGCCCAAGUCCUUUUAAAAAAUAUGUCUUUUAAUAUUGACAUUACUAUUUCUUGCUUGGUCAAUGGCUCAAUAAAUUGAGCUUGCUGACUUCUAUUUAGGACAUGUCCAUUUCUCUUUCCCACUCAAUGAUAUUCGAAUGUAUUUAAUUCUUUCGCAGCUUGUUUCACACUCUUAAGUUGAUAUCACACCCCACACAUUGUACCAGUACUAUGUAUUUUUUUCCAAAUCCUUUGUACUGUCCUCUAGAACUUCUCAUGCUUUACUAGAUGUUUUAAAAACUUUAAUGGAUUAUGUCUUCUAUCUUCCUCCUGUGUCAAGUAACACAUAGAGGUGAGUGAUCUGAGUAUUAUGGAUCAAUUAUUUGUUCUUCCAAUGGUUGAAUGAAUAGUAGCCAUCUAGCUUUAACUAGUGCCCAAUCAAACCUACUAUAUGUGACUCCAUACAAUUUACCCACAGAAUUGCGUGUAUCUAUCAAAAAAGAGUCAAAGUCCUUAGUUUUAGCUUCAUAGGUUUUAGAACCAACCAUUUUAACCUCAAAUCUAUGGAUAACCUUAUAAUCUCUCAUAGAUAGCCAUGGCUCAUGAUGUCCCAAAUCAAUAUUCCUCAGCUUUCUCCAUAGUCUCUUUAUAUGCUCAAUGAUAUGCAAACCAUGUACUACAUAAAAGAAAAACAUGAAAUUCAGCGAUUUGAUUCUCACAUCCGAGUGGAUUAUUGAUCAUCAAUUUCCACUGGUUCACAAUCCAUGACUUGACGGUCCCAUAUUAUCACGAUACAAGGUAGACGCUGGGUGAAACAUAGCGUAAAAGACCCCAAAAAGCCUCAUACAUUCCACUGAGCACUCUUCGUACACGAAAAUAGGAAUUAUAUGAGAUUUAAAAGUGUAAAUCAAAUCAUAGAGUUUGAUAAGACGAAAUGGAAAAUUCACAAAGUCUCAAAUCCAUCUAUUACAAAGAAAUGCUUGGGACGUAACCCGUACAUCAAAUCCAAAACAUAAAACUAAAGACGAACGAAUGAAAGCUUGGUCCUCAAAAAAUGAGGAAUCUCUAAUCUUCAAAUCUCUAAUAAAGAUCCCUAGCUGUGGGAGUGCGAACCUGGAGCGUCAGACCCUACAUUUGGAUCAUAAAUGUAGGGAAGAGUAUGCAUUAGUACUAAAAUGCAAUAGAUAUGAAAGACAUGAAAAAAACAUUUAAAAGCAUUCUAAAAAUGGAAAUUUUCAUGAAAUACAAUGACCAAGCUAAAACAUGAAUUAAUAGAGUGAGAAAACAUAAAUCAUAAGUUAAACAUGGUCAUUGCACAUAACAUAUUUAAACUUUCAUAAGACACUUCAAGUAGUAACUUUAGUUCAUUAUUAUGGGAGAUUUACCUUUAACUAACAUGUGAGACCAUGUGAACUAUAAACAUGGAAUUCGGUUUAUACCCCACACCAAAAGGAGGUGUCCUACUUUACAAGGUAAGACCAUGAACUUCUAGCUAUUGUAGAUGUAACACUCCAAAAGACUAAUAUGUGUUCUAGAGCCUAACAAGAGUGUCUAAAGGUUGUUUUACUGUACUAAGGCCUAAAAUGAUGAAUAUAAAACAUUUAGAAAUCUUUAGAGUUGAAACGGCAAGGAAUGUCUACAACGUCCGGUGAACUUACUACUUAAGCUAGUGGGGUGUCUUGAUGGGUUGAAAAAAGUGUAUAAUGGUUUUUUAUUUAUCUAGCAUAGAUGAUGAGAGUAUAUAUAUAUAUAUAUAUAUAUAUAUAUAUAUAUAUAUAUAUAUAAAGUUUCAAAGUAAGUCUUAAGGAUUCUAGGCCAAGUGAGGAUUGCCAACCUUCAAGGGCAAGCCAAAGACAAGAGGCCAAGGCUGCCCAAGAAGGGAGGCUACUACCUCACUCUUCACGAGAAUGACCACGGCUAAUGGUCAGGACCACGGACAAGGUGGGGAGCUCAUGAAGGGGCCUUAGACAUGGGGUAAUAUGACAAGGUAGCCUAGCUACUGUCCAAGACACCACGAGCCACUCCACGACUCGUGGUGAACUUGACGGAGGGCAAGGGCUGCCAAGAAAAGGCCUUAGCCAAAAAGGAGGUGAGUUGGUUGGAGAUGGUGAGCUACUGCCUCAGAUCACCACGAGCCACUUGACGGGCCUUGGUGCAUAUUCAUAGAAGGGAGAAAGUGCUCAGUAUUCCUUCUUUGGGGGGAGAAAUGGAAAGGGGCUCCUUGGGGGGAGCUACUGCCUUACCACUUCACAACCACCACCAUGGUCUUUUGAGAACUUCACGGACCGUGAAGUGGGACGUGGUGAUUGGGGGGGAGGGGGGAGCUCACAGUGACGUCAAGUUGAACUUCACUUUUGGAAGUUAAAUAUAAUAAGGGUUAGUUUGGGUAUUUUGGGGGUGGACUAUAUGUUGACGUUAGGUCAAUUUCCAUUCAUUUCCACUCAAAAAACACAAACUCAACUUCAAACCCAAAUUGCUCUCACUUCUCUCUACUUUAUUUUUCUUCAUUCAUCCUCCAUUGAAGAACAAGAAGCUUGAGGAAUAUGACAAAGUCUCCAAGAUUUUCACUCAAUUUUUUGGGAUAAAUCUUCAUUAAGGGUAUGGGUUUUUUAUUCUUGGGAUUCCUUCCCCAUAUGGUUCUAAAAGUUGAAUUUCAAUUGCCCAAAUUCUUAGGGCUUUUCUCUACAAAUAAUUUUUCUAAAGUCGAAAUUGAUUAUUGAUUAUGUUGAAUUAUGAUUGCCUAUGACUAAUCUUAUGUAUAUUAUUGUGUAAUUGAUGCUAAUUGUGGGAUUUUUUUUAUAAAUCAUAUCCUUUCCCCAAUUUCUCCAAGUCCUUGUUCAUAUGUGUUAAUAGAAGGGGGAUUAUGAAUAUGUUUAUUGUUGUAACCAUCUUAUUCAAUCUAUGGGAUGCCUAGGGAAUUCUAAGGUUGAGAUUAGACCUAGUUCUUGAAGAAUUCAUGAUGAAUACUUCUCCCUCAAACCCUAGGUUAUGAAUUGAAGUUGAUUGGGAUGGUGAUGAUAUAAUUUGCUUAGUAGUGUUAGAUUACUAUUGUAUAAUGUUGCUACACCUAUUUUUGAUUGGAAUGGAUUGGUUGAUGGUAAAGCCAUGGAUGAUGGCUUAUGAAGGAGAUUGGGUAAGCCUUGCGAUCUCAACUCUUUUCUUCGAUUAUGAUUACUUGUGAUUAAGUUAUGAUGUUGCAUUGAAAUAUAUGUUAUAUCAAGAUUGAUAGGGUUGGUAUGAUGUUGAAUUGAAAUGUCUUGACUAUGGUUUGUGAGAUGUUAUCUAUGAUGUAAAUGCUAUAAUGAUGGUGAUAACUUAACAAUAUGUCUUAUCAUGAUGUGAUACGUAAAUAUGCUAACCUCACAUGUAUGAAUUAUAAUGAAAGGAAAAUACUUAUGUAAUUCUUAUUGUGCUAUGAUGGUGAUAAUUGUAUAAGGAAUAGAGCCUAUGACCUAAACUAAGUGUUGAUAGUAAUGUAUGAGUUAAAAACAUUUCAAAUGGGACAUUAGCUUAGUAACGAGAGAACUUGACAGUGGGAGGUGUUGACUUUCCAUAGAGGAAGAUUCACCCUAUAUAUAGUUUCACAUGAGGUGUUGACUCCCCUAUAAGGGAUACUCACCCUAUGGAUUCUCAUUAGAUAAGGAUCAAAUGCUAAAUGACGUGUAGAGAGUUCACACAUAUCUCCUAGUUCCUUAACUAUGUUUCCCCCAUAGGAACACUAGCUAGUGGAUCUACCUAAACAACUACAUUUAUGUUUGGUUCUAUUUUGUCCAGUAGACCACCUUCCAUUGGUGUUAGGUUUUACAACUCCGAAUUUCACACCUAGAUCUUAUGGUCUACAUCAAUUAACGAAAGUGUUCACAAAAGUUAAAAUGAAGUUAUGAAUGAACUUUAACUAGGAUGACCUAAGAGUUUAGCUUAGUCUAGGUGAGGGUAUGUGAUUCUACCUAUGCAUUGCACUAGUUAGCCUUGAGGGGAGUCUUAGGAAGAUGUUUUUAUGUUUGAAUAUGCUUAUAAAUAUAAAUGGUAUGUAUAUGAUGAUCAUACAUGUUGAUGGCACCAUAUGAUGUUGAAUUCACUUAUAAAUAUAUGUUUGGUCUCUAUAGCUUAAGUAUGAUGUUAUGUACUCUUCAUAAUAUGAUAUGUUAAGUUGGACAUUGGUUAUAAUUGUUGUUGGGCUUACAUGAUUAAGUAAGGUUAUGGAGCUUUGCUUAGUCAUUUCACUAGUGGACUCAAUAAGGGCUCAUGAGUAAUUGUCUUGCUUUUGUUAUAAUGUGAUUAACUGUUAAACAUUCUUGUUGAUGUUAUAACUUGAUGAUAGAGUUGUAUUGACUAUGUACUCAAGUAUGGUGGUGUGCAUGUGUGGCUUGAUUAGACUUAUGUUUGUUGGUCCUGGAAUGUGCAUAAGGCUGUUCAAAAUAAAAUAUCACGCUUUAAUGAAACGUACCUUUUAGCAUGAUUUCUAUGAUGUGUGUGUCUAUAUGGUCUCAUACUUAGUACAUGUGAUGUGCUAACCCCUUGUUCUCCCUUUUUCUUAAUAUUCUAGGUUUCGGUCGUUGAAGGGCUUUUGAGAUGCAUUUGAAGGAACACUUGGAAUUCUCACUCUCCAAGUUGGGUAGGUUUUCACUUUUCAAGGGCAAUGCAACUAUCAAGCUAUUGGUUUUUUCCUAGUUAUAAGACUUUUAGUUCUUCCCUUUUCAUUUGUGUACUAAAGAUUGUAUAUCCUAUAUGUGGCUUUAUUGUAAUGACGUAUGGGCUAUGUCAAUUGUUAUACUAUUGUUUAGAUGGUUAUGAGAU